This 1146-nucleotide long non-coding RNA is filed under the name Bemisia tabaci. RNAcentral describes it as "lncRNA ENSSSA1NGG010744". The record is from RNAcentral. Lineage: Eukaryota; Metazoa; Arthropoda; Insecta; Hemiptera; Aleyrodidae.
AUGACAGAAGCCUUUGAAGAUGGAGUCUACUUGGUCAAAGUGCUAGCGCAGGUGAUGACAAGAGACGACAGCACAGGAGGAUGGGUUCCUAUGGGAGGUGGGGGCCUGUCAAACGUGUCUGUCCGAAAGCGUCUCAUCACCACAGCCCCACCGAGGACAACAAGUUCGAAUAUCUCAUUUCGGGAAAAGAAUCUUGGAUCAAUCGGUAAGAUCAAUUUUGCCUCCUCUAUCCUCGUGGAUGUUUAAAUUAGAGCCACCAUUAUGCAUGGAAAGCAUUAAUAAGUUUAUGUACGCAGGGCUUGUCAUUUUGAAUGAAAAAUUUUGCGUAAAAACUAUUUCAAAUUAUGUGUUUCAAAACGAACAUAUCCAUUAUAAUGUUAAAUAAUCUUACCAUAUGUGUUUGGAAAAUCAGGGAUGUGUCAGGAAACCGCCCUGAUUUUUCAGAAACAUUAUGGUAACAUUCUCUGACAUUAGAGGAUAUGUUUGGUGUUAAAAACACAAAAUUUGAAAUAGUUUUUAUGCACAAUUUUUCGUUCAAAAUGACAAGCCCUGCGUACUUAAACAUAUUUCUGCUUUUCAUGCAUUUCAUUUUCUAAAUUCUGUAUCAACCCUGCUGAUAGGGACGUGUUAAUACAUGAUGACCAAUCCCCCACCCAUUAUUCUUCUUCAUUAUUUUUUUCAUCAUUCCAUUUUUCUGACUAGCCCUGCUACCAUUUCGUUUCUAGGGCCUAACAAUUUUAUAUAAGUGCAGGUUAAAAAUAGCAUAACAAUAGGUUUCAUUCUCUCGCAGUACCUUGAAUCUCUCCUCAAUUAAAGUCAAAUUACUUAGUGCUCAGUUUAAAAAUAAAUUUUGUAUGCUAUAUUGAGAAAACUGCUUUCAAUGCCUUUUUAUUGCACUAUUGGUAACAUAUUGAUGGUACUAUUGAAAAAUGGCAACUCUAACGCCUCUUGAAUCCAAAUUUGCUGCCAGCUGCUAUUUAUGAGCCUUGAGAUUAAUAAAAAUUGUUGGAAUAUUAGAGCAUCUUGGAAGGAGGUUGGUGACCUCAGGGAGUAUAGAUAAUCUUGUCUUUGGCUCUCUUGAAAAUGGUUUGGUCUAUGGAAAAGUCUUCCUUUAAUAUGUGUUUAAAUUUUAUUCCGCGUUGAAUC